CCACGAGCGGGCGAGUGCUACACAUGCAGUCGAACGGGAUCCAUCAAGCUUGCUUGGUGGCGAGAGUGGCGAACGGUUGAGUAAUGCGUGACCGACCUGCCCCAUGCACCGGAAUAGCUCCUGGAAACGGGUGGUAAUGCCGGAUGCUCCAGUUGAUCGCAUGGACUUCUGGGAAAGCCUUUGCGGAAUGGGAUGGGGUCGCGUCCUAUCAGCUUGAUGGCGGGGUAACGGCCCACCAUGGCUUCGACGGGUAGCCGGCCUGAGAGGGCGACCGGCCACAUUGGGACUGAGAUACGGCCCAGACUCCUACGGGAGGCAGCAGUGGGGAAUAUUGCACAAUGGGCGCAAGCCUGAUGCAGCGACGCCGCGUGAGGGAUGGAGGCCUUCGGGUUGUAAACCUCUUUUGUUAGGGAGCAAGGCAUUUUGUGUUGAGUGUACCUUUCGAAUAAGCACCGGCUAACUACGUGCCAGCAGCCGCGGUAAUACGUAGGGUGCAAGCGUUAUCCGGAAUUAUUGGGCGUAAAGGGCUCGUAGGCGGUUCGUCGCGUCCGGUGUGAAAGUCCAUCGCUUAACGGUGGAUCCGCGCCGGGUACGGGCGGGCUUGAGUGCGGUAGGGGAGACUGGAAUUCCCGGUGUAACGGUGGAAUGUGUAGAUAUCGGGAAGAACACCAAUGGCGAAGGCAGGUCUCUGGGCCGUUACUGACGCUGAGGAGCGAAAGCGUGGGGAGCGAACAGGAUUAGAUACCCUGGUAGUCCACGCCUAAACGGUGGAUGCUGGAUGUGGGGCCGUUCCCGGGUUCCGUGUCGGAGCUAACGGUUAAGAUCCCGCCUGGGAGACGGCCGCAGGUA
This 849-nucleotide ribosomal RNA is filed under the name Bifidobacterium breve. RNAcentral describes it as "bacterial SSU rRNA". It matches the Rfam family "Bacterial small subunit ribosomal RNA", at positions 33 to 895 of the family's 1533-position model. Lineage: Bacteria; Bacillati; Actinomycetota; Actinomycetes; Bifidobacteriales; Bifidobacteriaceae. The record is from RNAcentral.